UACGGGAGGCAGCAGGGGGAAUAUUGCACAAUGGGCGAAAGCCUGAUGCAGCUAUGCCGCGUGUAUGAAGAAGGCCUUAGGGUUGUAAAGUACUUUCAUCGGGGAGGAAAAAACAAAACUAAUAAUUUUAUUUCUUGACGUUACCCGAAAAAGAAGCACCGGCUAACUCCGUGCCAGCAGCCGCGGUAAUACGGAGGGUGCUAGCGUUAAUCAGAAUUACUGGGCGUAAAGAGCACGUAGGUGGUUUUUUUAAGUCAGAUGUGAAAUCCCUGGGCUUAACCUAGGAACUGCAUUUUGAAACUGAAAUACUAGAGUAUCGUAGAGGGAGGUAGAAUUCUAGGUGUAGCGGUGAAAUGCGUAGAUAUCUGGAGGAAUACCUGUGGCGAAAGCGGCCUCUAAACGAUCUGACACUGAGGUGCGAAAGCGUGGGGAGCAAACAGGGAUUUAGAUA
This 451-nucleotide ribosomal RNA is filed under the name uncultured bacterium. Its description in RNAcentral is "bacterial SSU rRNA". It matches the Rfam family "Bacterial small subunit ribosomal RNA", at positions 340 to 784 of the family's 1533-position model. The record is from RNAcentral.